UGCAGCAGUUAUCGGCGAGCAGAUCUUAUAUCGUAUAAAAACGGAUUUUGCAUGGAGUGCCAUUGAGAGAUCGUGUAUUGCAGAAACUGAGGACAAAUAGGUGAUUAAAGGAAGUAUGAAGAUUAAAUUAAUUAACUAAUUAAUUAAUUGAAAACGUCAACACAAAAUAAUAAUAAUAAUAAUAAUAAUAAUAAUAAAUGAAAUUUUAAAACAAGCAGUCGAUUCUCGAUACACAGAGAACGGUUUGUAAUAAUAAACUUUACAUGUGUGAUAUUUUGUAUAUAAAUGUAUGAUGGACCUUGGAGUUUUGAUCCGAACAAUCUUUGAGGUUUGAAGUGGAAUACAUUUAUCUUAUUGUUUCUUCUUCGAAAAGAAAUUAAAUCAAUAUGUUAAUUUUGUAAAUGGAGUGAAAAAUGA
Long non-coding RNA from Diprion similis, 417 nucleotides. RefSeq lists it as uncharacterized. The record is from RefSeq and is a predicted model, not a curated record. Lineage: Eukaryota; Metazoa; Arthropoda; Insecta; Hymenoptera; Diprionidae. The transcript has 3 exons.